GUGCUUGCUUCAGCACACAUACUAAAAUUGGAACAAUAUAGAGAAGAUGAGCAUGGCCCCACACAAGGAUGACAGGCAAAUUUGUGAAGCAUUCCAUGUAUUU
This is a small nuclear RNA of Pipistrellus kuhlii (Kuhl's pipistrelle), 103 nucleotides long. Lineage: Eukaryota; Metazoa; Chordata; Mammalia; Chiroptera; Vespertilionidae. The record is from RefSeq and is a predicted model, not a curated record.